This 253-nucleotide ribosomal RNA is filed under the name uncultured bacterium. Its description in RNAcentral is "partial 16S ribosomal RNA". It matches the Rfam family "Bacterial small subunit ribosomal RNA", at positions 524 to 776 of the family's 1533-position model. The record is from RNAcentral.
UACGUAGGGGGCUAGCGUUGUCCGGAUUUAUUGGGCGUAAAGAGCGUGUAGGCGGCCAGGUAGGUCUGCUGUGAAAACUCGAGGCUCAACCUCGAGACGUCGGCGGAAACCAUCUGGCUAGAGUCCGGAAGAGGAGAGUGGAAUUCCUGGUGUAGCGGUGAAAUGCGCAGAUAUCAGGAAGAACACCCGUGGCGAAGGCGGCUCUCUGGGACGGUACUGACGCUGAGGCGCGAAGGCCAGGGGAGCAAACGGG